RNAcentral lists this ribosomal RNA (275 nucleotides) under Paenibacillus sp. 7541. RNAcentral's name for it is "Bacterial large subunit ribosomal RNA". It matches the Rfam family "Bacterial large subunit ribosomal RNA", at positions 310 to 582 of the family's 2925-position model. Lineage: Bacteria; Bacillati; Bacillota; Bacilli; Caryophanales; Paenibacillaceae. The record is from Rfam by way of RNAcentral.
AUGGAGUUACAAAGGUUUAGAUUAGUUGAACAGGUCUGGAAAGGCCGGCCAUAGAAGGUAAAAGCCCUGUAGUCGAAAAUGUGAACCCUCCGAGACGGAUCCCGAGUAGUGCGGGGCACGUGAAACCCCGUAUGAAUCUGCCAGGACCAUCUGGUAAGGCUAAAUACUCCCUAGCGACCGAUAGUGAAGCAGUACCGUGAGGGAAAGGUGAAAAGCACCCCGGGAGGGGAGUGAAAUAGAACCUGAAACCGUGUGCUUACAAGAAGUCAGAGCCC